GCCACGCCCACCGAGGGUAUAAGUAACCCCCGCUGCUGGGUUCGUCCAGGUGUGCAAACGGGAACAACGACAGAGGAAAGCGUGUCUAAAUUUUUAUCAAAAUACUGUAAUAUAGAAGAAGUGAGAGCGACAUAAAAUAAGGACAACCUUUUCUGAAUCACGGCGCAUCGUGACUGUUGAGGUGAGUGACAGAGAAGCGAACAGAAACACGAACACGCUGAGUGGAUAAUGCUAAUGCUAACAGGCUAACCGCGCUCGUGUUUUUAGCCUGGUAUGCUAGUGAACAGGUAACGCCAUAGAUACAUAAAGGCUAGAUGGCUUACGCACGCUGGCAGCCAAUGGAGACGGACGUUCGCGAAUGGCGGCCAUCUUGCUAAGGGCAGCUCGCCCACUCCUAACAUUCCCGUCUAAGGUUCAUGUUACAUUUAAAUAACCAUAUAUUGAUUAAUUUCAAACCGAUUUUCGAACAGUUUGGUUUGUAACAAACGUCAGAAUUUUAGUUAUGUCCCUGCAUACUCAAGAAUAAUUUUAACCAUAACCAUAUUCAUAUAUAAACAUUAAACAUAUAGGUAGAGCAGUAGCUAUGUUUUUCAACUCAAACUCUGAUUUUUUUUCAAUUUUUUGUUUUAUUUGUUGUACUUUCUGGUACAGGUGCCCACAGUUGGACUAGACAUACUGGAAGAGGAAGAGGAGAUCAUCAAACAGAGCAGCGAAUACUCUGAGAUGAUCUUUUUAA
Molecule: non-coding RNA, 736 nt
Organism: Xyrichtys novacula (pearly razorfish)
Lineage: Eukaryota; Metazoa; Chordata; Actinopteri; Labriformes; Labridae
Source: the annotation of a GenBank genome assembly